Molecule: long non-coding RNA, 217 nt
Filed under: Lathyrus oleraceus (garden pea)
Lineage: Eukaryota; Viridiplantae; Streptophyta; Magnoliopsida; Fabales; Fabaceae
Description: Pisum sativum (pea) long non-coding RNA (PSAT_LNC031306)
Source: RNAcentral
GAAAGUGUGUGAGUCAGAUUGAAUUUUUCAGAGCUGCCUGGGGGUUGCUCUGAGUUCUCUGUCAGGUUUCUCUUCAGGUUUUGUCCAGGGUUUUGUUUCAAGGAAACCUCAGAGUAUUUUGCUUCUCUUCCUUUUUCUGUCUGAUCUCUCUCUUUUAUAACCUGAUUUUCAUGGCUUUGUGGGCUCAAAUGAGAGAGGCCCAAGUCCAAGUUUUUUC